This is a long non-coding RNA of Ochotona princeps (American pika), 1159 nucleotides long. RefSeq lists it as uncharacterized. The transcript has 3 exons. NCBI's taxonomy places the organism in Eukaryota, Metazoa, Chordata, Mammalia, Lagomorpha, Ochotonidae. The record is from RefSeq and is a predicted model, not a curated record.
CCACAUGAGCUGGUCCAGUCUGGUGUCAGUCUUAUGGAUGUGCAGAUGCCUAAUUUAGAUCUUAAGGAAAAAGUGGAACCUGACUUUCUUCUCACUGAUAUCCAAACUUCCCCAGAUGCUGGCGCCAGGAUGAAUCAUUGGCCGAAGAGAACAAGACCCAUAAAAUCUCAGGGAUGCCUCUCUACACGUGGGGCCUGAAGUGGCACUAUGUCACGUACCACUCUCCUUCAUGCCCCCUUAGAGCCCAGGCUGAAGAGAAACGCACAGUCUUGCAAAAGUUGCAGCACAGACAUGUAGAAAAACGUAGGAUUGUCAAGUCAGAGUUGCCAGAGCCGGAAGGAUGGAAUGUGAAUUGACGAAGCUCUGACACAGUUACGCUUCCAAGUAACAGCAUCUUUGGAUGCCUCUAUGAAGAACAAUCAUAUUAUCUCAAGUCCUAGUUUUGCUGUAUGAAGACUGCAGCCCGAACCAGAAGAACCAGGAACCAACUCUGGAACACUUAAGUGCUGCACUGCUGGGAGGGGAGCAAGACCAACCCUUGGAAGAUGGAGCCAUGGGUAGCCAGCAUCUGUGGGUACUGGGGAACUGGCCGAGCCCUCCUGGCCCUGGAGUGGCAGGCAAGACUGGGUAUGGGGAGGCUGGCAAGCUGGCUCUGGAGAGGAUGGUGAUAAGGCUGUGGGCACAGUAGGUAUAGGCAGAGCCAGCCUGGCUAUGGAAGGCCUACGAGCUGGAGGCACCAGCCCAAUCAACGUGGUCCUGGAGCCGCCAGCUGCCAGAGGAUGGCUGUGGGCACUGACUGAGCCUGCCUGGCACUAAUGAUUGGUAGGCCAGCUGGGGACUCAGGAGGUACUACCAGAGCCAGCCAGACUAGCCCUGGAAUAGUGGGUGUGGUGGCAGGGCAAGCUGGCUAAAUGAGCUGGGGAGCCUGGGCUAUGGAGCCUGGUCCUAUGGACAAGGGUUAUUGCGCUGUGGGCAAGGGGGUCACUGAUUGAACUGGCCUGUCCCCGUUGUGGGAAAGGUGCUGUGGAAUGGAGUGCAAGGUGUGCAGUGGACACAGGACAAGUGGUCCUGGUGCUGGAGGAGCAGGCCGGUGAGUAGCCUGCUGGGGAUGCUGGGUCACUGGGCUAGCCUGCCUGAUCCUGGAGCAGCUGGGAGGAUG